This is a long non-coding RNA of Aquila chrysaetos chrysaetos, 220 nucleotides long. RefSeq lists it as uncharacterized. Lineage: Eukaryota; Metazoa; Chordata; Aves; Accipitriformes; Accipitridae. The transcript has 3 exons. The record is from RefSeq and is a predicted model, not a curated record.
GCAACAGAAGUGAAAACCAUAGAGUUGUAAUGAAUUGCAGGUGACCUGCAUUAUGUUGUGGACAUGGGGAAAAGCUAGAUUUUGAGCAUGUGAUCCUCUGCUCCCUAGUGGGCUGGAUUUCGAAGAAUAACUAAAGAGUGCCAGACAUGACAUUAUUGACUGCCAGCUACAAAAACACAACAAAGAGGAGGAUGCAUCUUACCUGAAUAUAACCUUUCAA